GCACCAGCAGGAUGGGGGUCUUGCCGCGGUUCUGGUCCGUGGCCCACUCGUAGACGCGGAUCGUGCCGUGGCUGGUGCG
Molecule: transfer RNA, 79 nt
Filed under: Citricoccus zhacaiensis
Lineage: Bacteria; Bacillati; Actinomycetota; Actinomycetes; Micrococcales; Micrococcaceae
Description: tRNA-Gln
Source: RNAcentral